CCCUACGGGGUGCCGCAGGCUUCGAUCGACAAUGACCUGCGGACAGUCGGGGCGGUCCUGGAGUUCCUGCAAUACGUGACGGCGCACGGCUAUCGCCCGGGCGAUCCGGGACUGGACGCCCUGGCGUACACGAAGAGCCGGCGCAAGAUCUCUUCCCAGGAAUUGCCGCAGGUGGCCAAGAAUCCCGCGGCCGCAAGGGAAACCGCCGGUCCGCCGGCCCCCGAACCGGCGUCGGCCGCCCCCAUCACCCGCGGGGAGGCGGUGGACAUCGAGCGGCACCUGGUAAAGGGGAAGACGGUGGUGUUCGAUUUCUACAGUGACUUUUGCGGGCCCUGCCGGCAGGUCGGGCCGCGGCUGGAGAAACUGGACGCCCGGCGGGGGGGC
RNAcentral lists this ribosomal RNA (384 nucleotides) under uncultured prokaryote. Its description in RNAcentral is "partial 16S ribosomal RNA". The record is from RNAcentral.